UGGGUUUGACAUAUAGGGAAAUCCUCCAUCUCUGGAAACCGUCCUACCAUGUCAAACGCUGGUAAGGUUCUGCGCGUUGCUUCGAAUUAAACCACAUGCUCCACCGCUUGUGCAGGCCCCCGUCAAUUUCUUUGAGUUUUAACCUUGCGGCCGUACUCCCCAGGCGGAUGACUUAACGCGUUAGCUGCGCCACCGAAGCUCCAAGAGCCCCGACAGCUAGUCAUCAUCGUUUACGGCGUGGACUAC
RNAcentral lists this unclassified non-coding RNA (246 nucleotides) under uncultured Sphingomonadaceae bacterium. Its description in RNAcentral is "contains 16S-23S intergenic spacer region". The record is from RNAcentral. Lineage: Bacteria; Pseudomonadati; Pseudomonadota; Alphaproteobacteria; Sphingomonadales; Sphingomonadaceae.